CCUACGGGUGGCAGCAGUGGGGAAUAUUGCACAAUGGGGGAAACCCUGAUGCAGCGACACCGCGUGAGUGAAGAAGUGUUUCGGCGUGUAAAGCUCUGUCAGCGGGGAAGAAAAUCGGUUCACGAGAGCAGCGGACCGUACCCGACCACGAAGCCCCAGCUAACUACGUGCCAGCAGCCGCGGGAAUACGUAGGGGGCCAGCGUUAUCCGGAUUCAUUGGGUGUAACGGGAGCGUAGACGGCGAGACAAGUCUGGAGUGAAAGGCCGGGGCCCAACCCCGGGACUGCUCUGGACACUGCGUGGCUGGAGGACAGGAGAGGUAAGUGGAAUUCCUAGUGUAGCGGUGAAAUGCGUAGAUAGUAGGAGGAACACCAGUGGCGAAGGCGGCUUACUGGACUGUAACUGACGUUGAGGCUCGAAAGCGUGGGGAGCAAACAGGAUUAGAUACCCUUGUAGUC
Molecule: ribosomal RNA, 458 nt
Filed under: uncultured bacterium
Lineage: Bacteria
Description: partial 16S ribosomal RNA
Rfam family: Bacterial small subunit ribosomal RNA
Source: RNAcentral